Molecule: ribosomal RNA, 254 nt
Filed under: uncultured bacterium
Lineage: Bacteria
Description: partial 16S ribosomal RNA
Rfam family: Bacterial small subunit ribosomal RNA
Source: RNAcentral
UACGGGGGGGUGCGAGCGUUGUCCGGAAUCACUGGGCGUAAAGGGCGCGUAGGCGGCAUGCCAAGCGUGUGGUGAAAGCCCGGGGCUCAACCCCGGGUCGGCCGUGCGGACUGGCGUGCUCGAGCACUGUAGGGGCGGGUGGAAUUCCGGGUGUAGCGGUGAAAUGCGCAGAUAUCAGGAAGAACACCCGUGGCGAAGGCGGCUCUCUGGAACGCAACUGACGCUGAGACGCGAAAGCGUGGGGAGCAAACAGG